This is a non-coding RNA of Lophium mytilinum, 108 nucleotides long. Lineage: Eukaryota; Fungi; Ascomycota; Dothideomycetes; Mytilinidiales; Mytilinidiaceae. The record is from the annotation of a GenBank genome assembly.
UCCGGUGUGGUGUAGUUGGUCAGCAAACGCGGCGGCUCUCGUCUCAGGAGCGCUCUCUCCUGAGAAGAGAGAAGCCGUGGGACCCAAGUUCGAUCCUUGGCGCCGGAC